AACGAACGCUGGCGGCAUGCCUAACACAUGCAAGUCGAACGAGACCUUCGGGUCUAGUGGCGCACGGGUGCGUAACGCGUGGGAACCUGCCCUUAGGUUCGGAAUAACUCCCCGAAAGGGGUGCUAAUACCGGAUAAUGUCUUCGGACCAAAGAUUUAUCGCCUUUGGAUGGGCCCGCGUUGGAUUAGCUAGUUGGUAGGGUAAAAGCCUACCAAGGCGACGAUCCAUAGCUGGUCUGAGAGGAUGAUCAGCCACACUGGGACUGAGACACGGCCCAGACUCCUACGGGAGGGAGCAGUGGGGAAUAUUGGAAAAUGGGCGGAAGGCUGAUCCAGCAAUGCCGGGUGAGUGAUGAAGGCCUUAGGGUUGUAAAGCUCUUUUACCCGGGAAGAUAAUGACAGUACCGGGAGAAUAAGCCCCGGCUAACUCCGUG
This 433-nucleotide ribosomal RNA is filed under the name uncultured bacterium. RNAcentral describes it as "partial 16S ribosomal RNA". It matches the Rfam family "Bacterial small subunit ribosomal RNA", at positions 29 to 507 of the family's 1533-position model. The record is from RNAcentral.